RNAcentral lists this long non-coding RNA (6184 nucleotides) under Sus scrofa (pig). RNAcentral describes it as "lncRNA (ENSSSCG00000060749.1)". Lineage: Eukaryota; Metazoa; Chordata; Mammalia; Artiodactyla; Suidae. The record is from RNAcentral.
UUUUUUUUUUUUUUUCCUAAAGGGGUCUUAAAGAGUUUCACUUUGUCAAAGCCCCAAGAGGAGUAAGGCACAGAGGCUGGGCUUAAGGUUGGUGUGUAUAAAUACAAAUCUUGGACUCUUCUUACUAAUUUGCAGUCAUCUGAUUCAUCAAAUGUAUGAAUCUCCAGAAUCUAUAGAGUGGGCCAGUGUUCCCUCAUCAGAGCAGCUGGAGUAAAAUGGCAUUUUAAGAAAACUUGAAACUGAAAGUAUUUACCUCCUCAGAAAAAAAAGUUGACAUUUAUUGAGUGCUGGCUCAGUGCCAGGCACUUUGCCAAAGGCUUUCCAUGGAUUAUAUUGUAUCACCCUUAUGAGGUAGGUGCCAUGAUCAUCUUUAAUUUACAGAUGAGGAAACAGAGGCUUAGACAGAUGAAAUAACUUGGUCUAGGCACAGGGUGAUAGAUUUUGGGUUUGACAAUCUGACCCCACAGACCCUAAUCAUAUCAUCCUUUGUUUAAUCUUUGGCACAAUCUCCUACCAAUUCUCCUUCUGGAGAAACCCUAUGUUUAUUGACAAUAUUUAAUGAUUUACACUAAGUGCCCUCCAUGCCCUCAUUUACUCCUCACAAGCACUCUAUAAGGCAGACAUCCUACCCCAUUUUAUGGAGGAGAAACCUGUGGCUAAAAGAGGUUGAUGGUCCAAGACUGAAGAACCAGCUCAAGGCAGAAUCAUCUUACACCAUAGAAAUAUCUGGGGAAAUUUCAUUCUUCCUUCCACAACUUUGAAAUUUUCUAAAAGUAAGUAAUCAGGAGAAAGGUACAAAGAAGGAAAGUGGAGGCCACAGAGCCAAGUAGCCAUGUGUAGGGCCCUAUCACAACGCUAUCCCAAAUCAGGAAGGGUAGAGUUUGCAAAAGGCUGGAUUCGUCUGGGAAGGCUCUAUACAGGGAAGAAAACUCCAGGCAGGCCUUGAAGACUGGGGAAAAUCUGGCUGGGUCAGGGAUUCCAGGCAGCAGAAUAGCAUAUUUAACAUUCAAGUGGGGUCUAGAAACAGAUUCAAGUAGCAGAGGGGAGCCCUGGUAAAAGGGCACGUGGUGGAAGGAAGACCACUUAGGAGGGUUAAGGCUUACAUCCAGCACUGUCUUCAAGCUUCAUACCCACAGAUCUCUUUGUCCUCCUCUAGCAUGUAGCCCAUCAAGAGCCUGAGUGACAAUGGAAAAAGUCACAGAGAGAAAAUAAAUGAAUAACGAAGAGAUACCAUAUGUAUCUCAUGUGGGGCCUUCUGGAAGGGAGGGAGAGGCUGGGCACUCAGGGAGAGAAGAGCUUUGAUUUGCCCACAGUACAAGGCAGUCUCAGCUCUUCCUCUGCUUGUCUCACCCCCUCUUUCUCCUUCCCUCCCCAGUAUUCUGCUUGCAGCAGCAAAUGUAAGAAUGCUUAGAUGGCUUGGCAAAACACUCCCUGAGAUUUAUUUCUGUUGGACAAUCUUGCAUUCCUUUUUUUCCCCCCUAGCUGACAUCUCUGUCAACAGCAGGCUCCUCUGUGAGGCUGUGAAUCUGGAGAUCACAUACCCGAUGCAGACAUUGCUGCUUAAAAACCAGACCAAGGACUUCUCUACUAGAUGCCCAUGAGCCAGUGAGACUAGACACAGCACAGAGGACAGGAAACAAACAGCCUUCUGAAAAGACCUCAGCCUUUUCUUCCCCUGUCAGGAGUACACAGAGGAGGUGCUGGUGUCAGCCCAGGAGAGGAAUAACAAUUUAUUGGUCACUAAUUCAGAGCCAAUAAUGGCAUCCUGAUAAAGACCAUCCCAAUUUUAUAACACGUGGACAGGACUGCAAGGGAACAUGGGAAACUGAACAUAAUUGACAGAGACAAGAUUCCAGAGUAGAAGGACUCAAGAUCACAAAAACACCAAAGUUACAACUAACCGUUGAACAACCAUCAACAAAAUAAACUGGAAGCUACCAAAAAAAGAUAUCCUAUAUCCAAAGACAAAGAAGUCACAUCAAGAUGGUAGGAGGGGUGCUUUCAUGAUAUGAGCAAUCCCAUAACUGCCCGAGGGGUGACCCACAGACUGGAAAAUAGCUAAAUUGCAGAGGCUCUCCCACAGGAGUGAGAGUUUAGAGCUCCACUUCGGGUUCCCACAGCUGGGGUCUGGCACUGGGAGGAGGAGCCCCCAAAGCAUUUGGCAUUGAAUGCCAGUGAGGCUUAAGUGCAAGAAAUCCACAGUACUCAGAGAGAAAGAGACUUCACUCUAGGAGGGAACACAGGAUUUCAUGUGCACUGGAUCACAGGGCAAAGCGGGGACUCCAUAAGAAUCUGGAUCAAGUCCACUGGGAGGUCUUGGAGGGUCUCCUGAGAGAGUGGGGGAGGCCGUGGCUCACUGUGGGGGCAGAACAUUGGACACAGAGGUCCCGGGAAUAAUCAUCAGUGUGACCUCCCCUGAGGCUGCAAUUUUAGAAAAAUUUAGCCCCACCCAUCAGGGCUGAGAAGCCCCAGGCCAGACAACAAACAGGGUGGGAACACAGCUCCACACAUCAGCAAAUAGGCUGCCCCUAAUCACACCCAGAGGCAAAGCCCCACUCACCAGAGGGAUAAGAAUCAGUUCCACCUACUAGUGGGCAGGCACCAGUCCCUCCCAUCAGGAAGCCUAUAACAAGCCCCUGUUUCAAUAAACUUCACCCACAAAGAGGCAGACACCAGAAGAAAGAGAGGCUACAACCCUCUAGCCUGCAGAAAGGAGACCACACAAAAAGCUCUACAAAAUGAAAAGUCAAAGAAACAUGAGUCAGAUGAAGGAACAAGACAAAUCCCUAGAAGAACAUCUAAGUGAAGUAGAGAUAGGAAACCUGUCUGAAAAAGACUUUAGAGUAAUGCUAGUAAGGAUGAUCCAAGAUUUUAGGAAAAAAAUAGAGGCAAAGAUUGAUGAAUUAGAAGAAACAUUUAACAAAGGAAUAGAAGAUUUAAAGAUUCAACAAGAAGAGAUGGUCAACACAAUAGCUGAAAUAAAAAAUUCGCUAGAAGGAAACAAUAGCAUAAUACAGGAGGCAGAAGAACAAAAAAGCUAGGUGGAAGACAGACUGGUGGAAAUCACUGAUGUGGAACAGAAUAAAGAAGAAAGAAUGAGGAGUUCCCAUUGCGGCACAGUGGUUAACGAAUCCGACUAGGAACCAUGAGGUUGCGGGUUCGGUCCCUGCCCUUGCUCAGUGGGUUAACGAUCCAGCAUUGCCGUGAGCUGUGGUGUAGGUUGCAGACACAGCUCGGAUCCCACAUUGCUGUGGCUCUGGUGUAGGCCGGGGGCUACAGCUCCAUUUGGACCCCUAGCCACGGGAGCAGCCCAAAGAAAUAGCAAAAAGACAAAAAGACAAAAAAAAAAAAAAAAAAAGAAUGAAAAGAAUUGAGGACAGUAUAAAAGAACUCUGGGACAACUUUAAAUGCACCAACAUUUGCAUUAUAGGGCUACCAGAAGGAGAAGAGAUAGAUAAAGGUCCAGAGAAAAUUUUUGAAGAAAUAAUAGCUGAAAACUUCGCUAACAUGGGAAAGGAAUCACUAACUCAAAUCCAGGAAGCACAACGAAUACCAUAUAGAAUAAACCCAAGGAGGAUGCACAAAGACAUAUAUUAACCAAACUGACCAACAUUAAAGUCAAAGAGCAAAUACUGGAAGCAGCUAGGGAAAAGCAAAAAAUAACAUACAAGGGAACCCUGAUAAGGUUAGCAGCUGAUUUUUCAGCAGAAACUCUGCAGGCCAGUAAGGAGUGGCAUGAGGUACUUAAAGGGAUGAAAGGAAAAAACCUACAAUAAAGAAUACUCUACCCAGCAAGGCUUUCUUUCAGAUUUGAAGGAGAAAUCAAAACCUUUACAGACAUGCAAAGGCUAAGAGAAUUCAGCUCCACCAAACCAGCUUUACAACAAAUACUAAAAGAACUUCUCUAGGCAGAAAGAAAGGCCACAACUAGAAAGGAGAAAAUUACAAAUGAGGAGGCUCACCAGUAAAGGCAAACAUCAGUAAAGGUAGGAAAAAUCAUCCACACACAAAUAUGCCACUGAAAGCAGCUAUUGUGAGGAGGAGGGUGCAAAUGCAGGAUCCUGGAAAUGCAUUUGCAAUCAAGAGACCAGCAACUUAAAGCAAUCUUGUGUGUAUAUAUACACUCCUAUAUCAAAAUCUGAGGGUUACCACAAACCAAAACCUCAUGGUUACCACAAACCAAAUUUCAAACACAACACUAAAGAGUCAUCAAACCACAAGAGGAGAGAACAAAAGGGAAGAAAAAAGGCCAAGAGAUAAAGGGCUAGAGAAAAUCGACAAAAAAAAUCCAAAACAAUUAACAAAAAGACAAUAAGAACAUACAUAGCAAUAAUUACCUUAAAUUUAAAUGGACUAAAUGCUCCAACCAAAAGACUCGCUGAAUGGAUACAAAAACAAGACCCAUAUAUAUGCUGCAUAAAGAAGAUGCGAUACACACACAUGCACGUGCGUGCGCACAUGCACACACACACACACACACACACACACACACUGGAAUAUUACUCAGCCACAAAAAAGGAAUAAAAUAAUGCCCAUUUGUAGCAACAUGGAUGGGACCUAGAGAUACUAAGUGAAUUUGGACAGUGAAAAACAAACAUGAUAUGUUAUCACUUAUAUGUGGAAUCUGAAAAAAAGAUACAGGAGUUCCUGUCAUGUUGCAGCAGAAACGAAUCCGACUAGGAACCAUGAGGUUGCGGGUUCAAUCCCUGGCCUUGCUCAGUGGGUUAAGGAUCCAGUGUUGCUGUGAGCUGUGAUGUAGGUCACAGACAUGGCUCGGAUCUGGUGUGACUGUGGCCAGCAGCAGUAUUUCUGAUUAGACCCCUAGCCUGGGAACUUCCCUAUGCUGUGGAUGUGGCCCUGGAAAAAAAAAAAAAAGAUGCAAAUGAACUUGUUGCAGAACAGAAACACUCAUAGACUUUGUAAACAAACUUAUGGUUACCAAAGGAGACAGGUGGGGUGGGAGUGGGGGUGAACUGGGGAUUUGAGAUUGGCACAGGGAACUCUACCCAAUCAAAUUCUGUGAUAAUUUAUAUGGGAAAAGAAUCUGAAAAAGAAUGGGUGUGUGUAUAUGUGUAACUGAAUCACUUUGUUGUAUAGCAGAAAUUAUCACAACUUAUAAAUCAAUUAUACUUCAAUAAUUUUUUUUUAAUGGGAAAAAAAAAAACAGACCAAGAAAGUGGACUCCUGAGAUCAGGGUGACCAGUAACCCAAUCUGGCCCAGGACCUGGGAGUCAGUGAGACCUCAGAGCUUGGAGCACGGGCCAUCUGGGAUGGGGGAUGGGGCAGCAAUCCUGUGAAUAUAGUCAGUUCAAGGCAAGAAUGUGUUAGCUGUAGAUGGUUCCAGCAGUUAAAAAAACUAGACCUAUUUGGAUGAAACCCAACCGUGGCCUUGAAUUAUUUUGAAACUCAAGUGUUGAUAAGCCACUAAGGAUAGUAGGGUACUAAGCCAUACAUGUGAAAAAUGUUUUGUCAAGUGUGAAUUUCUAUAUCCAUGUAAAGGAUUAUAAUUAUUACUUUUUGUCAAAGGAAGAAAACUAAGUUUUGGUCUAUUUUUGGAAAUUAGGUACCAGUAAAGGCAAAUAAACUUAGAAGCAUUGGAUUUCAGAGCUGGGAAGAAUGUCAUUCAUUCUAUCAACAAGCAUUUGGGGUUACAUCUGAGAAUCAGGUCUGCUGAGGAGCUGGAAAGGAGCCAGACUCAGGCUCCCAAGGUCCCUAUGGAGAGUUAUAAAUACCCUAAGGGUGAUAAGAGCACAGGAUUAGUGCAGGGUGGGGGGAUCUCAAUACAUCUGGGUAUCAGGAAAGGUUUUCAUACAUGCAAACUAUUACAUUUAGAAUUGAUAUGCCAUGAGACCCUGCUGCAUAGCCCGGGGAACUAUAUCCAAUCUCUUGGGAUAGAAUAUGAUGCAAGAUGUAUGAAAAAAAGAAUGCAUAUAUAUAUAUAUGUGCAUGUAUGACUGGGUCACUUUGCUGCACAGCAGAUACUGGCACAACAUUGUAAAUCAACUACACUUUAAAUAAAAAAAGAAAGAAGAGUUCCUGUCAUGGUUCAGCAGAAACGAAUCUGACUAGCAUCCAUGAGGAUGCAGGUUUGAUUCCUAGCCUCACUCACUCAAUGGGUUAAGGAUCUGGCAUCACUGUGAGCUGUGGUGUAGGCUGGCAGCUGCAGCUCCAAUUCAACCCCUAG